Molecule: ribosomal RNA, 789 nt
Filed under: uncultured archaeon
Lineage: Archaea
Description: bacterial SSU rRNA
Rfam family: Archaeal small subunit ribosomal RNA
Source: RNAcentral
GCCCUUUUCCGGUUGAUCCCGCCGGAGGCCAUUGCUAUCGGGGUCCGACUUAGCCAUGCUAGUCCAACGAGCUCACGCUCGUGGCAAACAGCUCAGUAACACGUGGCCAAGCUACCCUGUGGACGAGCAUACCCUCGGGAAACUGAGAACAAUACUCGAUACCGCUCGACGCCUGCAACGGCCCGAGCCACAAACGUCCCGACGCCACAGGAUGCGGCUGCGGCCGAUUAGGUCGACGGUGGGGUAACGGCCCACCGUGCCCAUAAUCGGUACGGGUCAUGACAGUGAGAACCCGGAGACGGACUCUGAGACAAGAGUCCGGGCCCUACGGGGCGCAGCAGGCGCGAAACCUCUACACUGCACGACAGUGCGAUAAGGGGACCCCGAGUGCGAAGGCAUAGCGCCUUCGCUUUUCUGGACCGUAAGAACGUCCACGAAUAAGGGCUGGGCAAGACCGGUGCCAGCCGCCGCGGUAAUACCGGCAGCCCAAGUGAUGGCCGAUAUUAUUGGGCCUAAAGCGUCCGUAGCUCGCCGCGCACCUCCGUCGGAAAAUCCACACGCCCAACGUGUGAACAACCGACCGAAACGACGCGGCUCGGGACCGGAAGGCGCGACGGGUACGUCCAGGGUAGGAGUGAAAUCCCAUAAUCCCGGACGGACCACCGAUGGCGAAAGCACGUCGCGAACACGGAUCCGACAGUGAGGGACGAAAGCUGGGGUCUCCAACCGGAUUAGAUACCCGGGUAGUCCCAGCCGUAAACGAUGCCUGUUAGGUGUGGCACCCGCUAC